This 464-nucleotide ribosomal RNA is filed under the name uncultured bacterium. RNAcentral describes it as "partial 16S ribosomal RNA". It matches the Rfam family "Bacterial small subunit ribosomal RNA", at positions 28 to 507 of the family's 1533-position model. The record is from RNAcentral.
GACGAACGCUGGCGGCGUGCCUAACACAUGCAAGUCGAGCGAAUGAAGUUCCUUCGGGAAUGGAUUUAGCGGCGGACGGGUGAGUAACACGUGGGCAACCUGCCUCAUAGAGGGGAAUAGCCUUCCGAAAGGGAGAUUAAUACCGCAUAAGAUUGUAGUAUCGCAUGAUACAGCAAUUAAAGGAGCAAUCCGCUAUGAGAUGGGCCCGCGGCGCAUUAGCUAGUGGGUGAGGUAACGGCUCACCAAGGCGACGAUGCGUAGCCGACCUGCGAGGGUGAUCGGACACAUUGGGACUGAGACACGGCCCAGACUCCUACGGGAGGCAGGAGUGGGGAAUAUUGCACAAUGGGGGAAACCCUGAUGCAGCAACGCCGCGUGAGUGAUGACGGCCUUCGGGUUGUAAAGCUCUGUCUUCAGGGACGAUAAUGACGGUACCUGAGGAGGAAGCCACGGCUAACUACGUG